UACGGAGGGUGCAAGCGUUACUCGGAAUCACUGGGCGUAAAGGAUGCGUAGGCUGGAAAUCAAGUAGAGAGUGAAAUCCAAAGGCUCAACCGGUGAACUGCUCUCGAAACUGGUUACCUAGAAUAUGGGAGAGGUAGAUGGAAUUAGUGGUGUAGUGGUAAAAUACGUAGAGAUCACUAGGAAUACCGAUUGCGAAGGCGAUAUACUGGAACAUUAGUGACGCUGAGGCAUGAAAGCGUGGGGAGCAAACAGGAUUAGAUACCCGCGUAGUCC
RNAcentral lists this ribosomal RNA (273 nucleotides) under uncultured bacterium. RNAcentral's name for it is "partial 16S ribosomal RNA". It matches the Rfam family "Bacterial small subunit ribosomal RNA", at positions 524 to 796 of the family's 1533-position model. The record is from RNAcentral.